GACGAACGCUGGCGGCGUGCUUAACACAUGCAAGUCGAACGGUAAGGCCCUUCGGGGUACACGAGUGGCGAACGGGUGAGUAACACGUGGGUGAUCUGCCCUGCACUUCGGGAUAAGCCUGGGAAACUGGGUCUAAUACCGGAUAGGACCACUGCCUGCAUGGGUGGUGGUGGAAAGCUUUUGCGGUGUGGGAUGGGCCCGCGGCCUAUCAGCUUGUUGGUGGGGUGAUGGCAUACCAAGGCGACGACGGGUAGCCGGCGUGGGAGGGUGACCGGCAACACUGGGACUGGGAUGCGGCCCAGGCUCCUACGGGAGGCAGCAGUGGGGAAUAUUGAACAAUGGGCGAAAGCCUGAUGCAGCCACGCCGCGUGAGAGAGGACGGCCUUCGGGUUGUAAACCUCUUUCAGCACCGACGAAGCGCAAGUGACGGUAGGUGCAGAAGAAGGACCGGCCAACUACGUGCCAGCCGCCGCCGUAA
This 478-nucleotide ribosomal RNA is filed under the name uncultured bacterium. RNAcentral's name for it is "partial 16S ribosomal RNA". It matches the Rfam family "Bacterial small subunit ribosomal RNA", at positions 28 to 523 of the family's 1533-position model. The record is from RNAcentral.